AACGAACGCUGGCGGCAUGCCUAACACAUGCAAGUCGAACGCUCCGCAAGGGGAGUGGCGCACGGGUGAGCAACACGUGGGAACCUGCCUAUUGGUUCGGAACAACGUUUGGAAACGAACGCUAAUACCGGAUAUCCCCCGAGGGGGAAAGAUUUAUCGCCAAUAGAGGGGCCCGCGUCCGAUUAGGUAGUUGGUGGGGUAAAGGCCUACCAAGCCGACGAUCGGUAGCUGGUCUGAGAGGAUGAUCAGCCACACUGGGACUGAGACACGGCCCAGACUCCUACGGGAGGCAGCAGUGGGGAAUAUUGGACAAUGGGCGGAAGCCUGAUCCAGCAAUGCCGCGUGAGUGAUGAAGGCCUUAGGGUUGUAAAGCUCUUUCGCACGUGACGAUGAUGACGGUAACGUGAGAAGAAGCCCCGGCUAACUUCGUGCCAGCAGCCGCCGUAA
This 447-nucleotide ribosomal RNA is filed under the name uncultured bacterium. Its description in RNAcentral is "partial 16S ribosomal RNA". It matches the Rfam family "Bacterial small subunit ribosomal RNA", at positions 29 to 523 of the family's 1533-position model. The record is from RNAcentral.